Molecule: long non-coding RNA, 1938 nt
Filed under: Polistes canadensis
Lineage: Eukaryota; Metazoa; Arthropoda; Insecta; Hymenoptera; Vespidae
Description: uncharacterized LOC106784967, transcript variant X2
Source: RNAcentral
AAAGUAAAGUGGGUGGGUGAAAGAAUGAAAAAAAGAAAAAAGAAAACACAAAAAAAAAGAGGAAAGGAAAGGGGGAAAAAAUAGAAGCGUAAAAAAGAAUAAAAGCAAACAUAUAAAUAAAAAAAAAUAACAAAAGCAAGAGAGCAUAGUGGAACACGGAAAAAUAAUAAAAAAGAAAAAAAAAAGAAGGAAAAAAGAAGAAGCAGAAAUAAAAAGAAGGGGCGCGAGCGGAAGUGAUUAAUCCGGAUCGAUGCGAUCAAGAAUGUCAUAAAGGUCGGGGCAUGCAUGGAGGUUGCUUUUUUUCGAGGUCAAGCGGAUAUCCAAAACGAGCGUCACGACGACGAUUUAAUUCGGUGGUCGCGCGUGGCGCGUAAAGUGGACCGACCAACGGACGUACGGAUGGAUGGAUGGACGUACGAACGGAUGGAACGAACGGACGGACGAACGAUGGAACGAACGAGAACGCGCGUUACGGGAUGCUCCUCUCCUAUGUCGAAGGUAUUUUUUUUUCUCUCUCUCUCCGUUUAUAUCUAUGUCUCUCAUUCUCUCAGUCAGUCCUCCGUGGGUCUCUCGCGUGACUCUACUCUUCUUCUUCUUUUUUUUUUUUUCCGCGUAGCAGUUAUCCUCCCUUACCCUGCGCACCACCCUCCCGACAAAACAAUUGAUUAGGAGGAUGGCUUGCUAAGGGGUGGAAGGGUAGGACGGUUACUCGCUUGCGUGGAAGGGGGAUGUGCAAGAGGAUGAGGUAAAAGAAGAGGUAGAGGAGUUGGAGGAUGAGGAUGAGGAUGAGGAUGAGUAGGGGGAAGAAGGGAGAUUGGCGCAAUACAACGCGCGGAGCCUGGAUGAGAGAGAUGAAGUGGCAGAUUAACGUCAACCGACGUGGGCCAUUCAUAACGGGGCUCUUUCGCCGGUGUGCGCCCGCCGCGCACGUAUGUACGAACUCUCCGCUACGACGAUUUAUAGAAUUGGAAAAACGAUAUCGGAAAAAUAGUAAACUUUAUUGAUGAAUCCCUUCUACCGGAGGCUCUCUAAGCGAUAUCGCGUGGAACUGCUACUGCUACUGCUACUGCUGCUGCUGGUGGUACUGGUACUGGUACUGGUGGUGGUACUGGUUGGUGGUGCUGGUACCGUGGAGGUGGAGGUGGAGGUGGCGGCCCAGAGAGAGUCCGACCACAUUCCCGCGGUGCUACAGGUGGCAUAUAUCUGAACAUACUGGGCAACACGCAUAAGGACAUUCUAAGAUAUCUGAACAUUUCCACAGCACCCACGUAUACAGAAGGAAUUCUCUGAGCAGGCAUUCGACAAAGUCCGGCAUUGGACCGACCAAAUGGCAACGGCGACGUCCGUUCAUGAGUCAUUUGCAUUAUAUACGGUAAACACGAGUUCGGACGAAAAUCUACGAAGAAAUACUUUAGAACGUAAAUUUCAAGGUGAACAACGACGACAACUAUACCUCUAUCACCUAGAAGAAAUUAUUCUGAUCUUUGUAUUAUUCAAUUAUAAAAAAAAUUAAAGAGAGAGAGAGAGAGAGAGACAGAGAGAGAGAGAUAAGAAUCAGGAAAAAAAAUGGAAAAAUUAAAUGACGCGAUGAUAAUUGAUAGCAAAUGAUGGAGUUAUAGAAAAGACAGCAAAAAAAAAAAAAGAAAAAAAAAGAAAUUGCGAACAAUAACGCAUACUUGAGUCUGAGGAAUUCUUUUAAUCAUCUCUUGUCGUGUUUAACAUUAAUCUUACCGAUUUCGUCAUACAUUCGUGCUUAUUUACGUAUGCAUAUAAUUGUAUAUGUGUGUGUGUGUGUGUAGGGUUGGCCAAUAAGUCCGUGCGGUUGUUUUUCUGAUGCGAGUAAAUGAACGACAAAAAAAGAGCACGAACUUAUCAAUCGAUUACUAAAAUAUUGGAUUGUUCUACAAAAAAAUUUCGUAAUAUUUCUUAUCAACUUUU